This 1579-nucleotide long non-coding RNA is filed under the name Sus scrofa (pig). RNAcentral's name for it is "lncRNA (ENSSSCG00050035086.1)". The record is from RNAcentral. Lineage: Eukaryota; Metazoa; Chordata; Mammalia; Artiodactyla; Suidae.
AUGAAUGAAUAACAUUCCAUUGUAUGGAUUAUACCACAUUUUGUUCAUUCACCAGCUGAUGGACGUUUGAGUUGUUUCCACUUUUUUUGGCUCUUGUGAAGAACGCCGCUGUAAACAUUUCUAUCCAACUUUGUGUGUGGCUGUAGGUUUUCUGUUCUUUGGAGGAUAUAUCAGGCACUAUGGUGAUUCUGUGUUUAACUUUUUGAGGAACUGCUAAACCGUUUUCCCAAGUGACAAUACCAUUUUACACUUUCAUUAGCAUGGUUCGAUUCUCUCUAUAUCUUCAACAAUGCUUUUUGUGGUCUGUGUUUGAUUAUUGCCAUUCUCCUAGUAUCUUUUGAAUAUAUGUACUUAGGUUUCUAUUAUCAGGUUAUGGAGUAGGCUCUGGAAUAUGAUAGGAAUAGAGGUCUUGGUGGGGUAAAGGCAUCAGAGAAGAGUUAGAGUCGGGGUCAUUACACGUGGAACGGGACAGUUGACUUAGAAAGGUGAUGAAGUCGAUGACUUCCAUACUUUGCUCUUCCGAUGUGGACAGUUAAGACACGCAGCAUAUCUGCAGAAGGAUGGCCCAGACAAUUGACAACUCCUUUAGCUGCAAAUUUCCUUUUUGCUGUGGCUGCUUUAACUGACUCCUAUUGCCAAAAUAUUUUCAUCUAUGGAAGAGAUCCAGGGAACAUCAAAGUUAGUAAAAAGGGUUAAUCAGGCAAAGAAGUGAGAUUACUUCCAUCCAAAUAACUAAAUAACUAAAAAUUUUAAAGACCUUCUGUUUCUUUAGGGCAGACUCUAUGAAUAGGAAUAAAAUACCUAUUUCAGAACAAAUAACUUAUUUUCUAAUGAGGUAAGAUUUUUUUUUUGGUAGAUGGCUGUACUACUUCUGUUACAAAUAGGACAUGUUUGGACGCUUAUUCGGCAAUAAUGGCACCCACUGACCUUUCCAUUUUUCAUCAUUGUCAAAAUUCAGACUGUCUUAUAACUGAUUAAAAAGACAAAACCUAUACAUAUUCACAAGACAAUUUUGAUGCUAUUACUCAAAAUUCAUGCAUAUUAAGUCUGCUGGCAUCAGACCAGAUAUAUUCAGAUAUAUUUGGACAGCUUGGAAAACCUAAGGAGGAAACACCUUUUCUCUGGAAGCACACAGCCAUCCUAUUGGGCAACUCAGAUGGGGAACAGGUGCAGCCUAUAAGCACAAAGCGAAGCUGGGAUAGGAACAGGUGUGGCUUAACUUCAGGCUGAAUCUUCUUUGGGAUGUGAUUGAUCUUUCUUCACAAAGCUGCCUCUCCUUCCUGCAACCAUCCAGAAAGGACCAAUGGAACUAUUAGAAAAUGCCCAUGUUAUCAUGAGGUGAUUUAAUUCCCCUUUUAAACUACAGCUUCACUUUCAGAGCAGAUACAGAAUUUUUCUUUGGUCAGUUCCAUAAGGCCACCCACAGAAAAACCCGAUCAGGUGUCCUAAUUACCUGAGUAUCAUUUUGGGAAAUCUACUCAAUUGCAAAGGUCCACAAUAAUAUCAGAUAGUAUUAAAAAUGGUCUUGGGGAGACAUGGAAGCAACCUAUAUGUCCAUCAAAAGAGGAUUUGAUAAAGA